RNAcentral lists this ribosomal RNA (253 nucleotides) under uncultured bacterium. Its description in RNAcentral is "partial 16S ribosomal RNA". It matches the Rfam family "Bacterial small subunit ribosomal RNA", at positions 524 to 776 of the family's 1533-position model. The record is from RNAcentral.
UACGUAGGGUGCGAGCGUUGUCCGGAAUUAUUGGGCGUAAAGAGCUUGUAGGCGGUUUGUUGCGUCUGCCGUGAAAAUCCGGGGCUCAACCCCGGACUUGCGGUGGGUACGGGCAGACUAGAGUGUGGUAGGGGAGACUGGAAUUCCUGGUGUAGCGGUGAAAUGCGCAGAUAUCAGGAGGAACACCGAUGGCGAAGGCAGGUCUCUGGGCCACUACUGACGCUGAGAAGCGAAAGCGUGGGGAGCGAACAGG